This is a long non-coding RNA of Portunus trituberculatus (swimming crab), 530 nucleotides long. RefSeq lists it as uncharacterized. The transcript is spliced from 4 exons. NCBI's taxonomy places the organism in Eukaryota, Metazoa, Arthropoda, Malacostraca, Decapoda, Portunidae. The record is from RefSeq and is a predicted model, not a curated record.
AAGCGACAUUUUCAAAUGCUACACAGUGAGAUCCGAGUUGGUCCUCCAUCCAAGGUCUGCCAAAUUGUAGAGGUUUGUGCACUGCUGCACAACAUCUGCAAAGCAAGAAACAUCAUUCUUCCUGAGGAAGAAGAACAUCUUGCUGCAACCGAGGAUGGAGGCAACGAGGAGCGUCUCCUAGCACAGAAAGUUCAAAGUCGCCAUGAAGUAAUCCUUUACAGGGAUGAAUUUGUUGUGCUUCACUUCAACAUUGAUGAGUGAUGAGACACCAGUGUCAUGACUGCUGAGAUUGGUGUUAUUCUCAUGUACUCUAGUUUUUGUGUGUAGUACAUGUACUUAGCCUGUGCCUCCUCCUCAACACCCACUGCCUCGGUCACCACUUCUCUCUGUUGGGCUGCCUCUGCCACUUCCCCAGCAUCAUCUGCUGCCUGCACACUGCUGGCAUCAUUAGUUCUAACUUCAUAAACUAAGCUGAUAAUGUUUUUGGUUUUAUUGCUAAGGACAAAAGUAACAGAAACCAGUAAAUCUAG